This 74-nucleotide transfer RNA is filed under the name Palmaria palmata (dulse). RNAcentral's name for it is "tRNA-Asn". It matches the Rfam family "tRNA". From Rfam's summary of the family: Transfer RNA (tRNA) molecules are approximately 80 nucleotides in length. Their secondary structure includes four short double-helical elements and three loops (D, anti-codon, and T loops). Further hydrogen bonds mediate the characteristic L-shaped molecular structure. tRNAs have two regions of fundamental functional importance: the anti-codon, which is responsible for specific mRNA codon recognition, and the 3' end, to which the tRNAs corresponding amino acid is attached (by aminoacyl-tRNA synthetases). tRNAs cope with the degeneracy of the genetic code in two manners: having more than one tRNA (with a specific anti-codon) for a particular amino acid; and 'wobble' base-pairing, i.e. permitting non-standard base-pairing at the 3rd anti-codon position. The record is from RNAcentral. Lineage: Eukaryota; Rhodophyta; Florideophyceae; Palmariales; Palmariaceae.
UUCCUGAUAGCUCAACAGGUUAGAGCAAUUGGCUGUUAACCACUAGGUUACAGGUUCGAGUCCUGUUCAGGAAG